This is a long non-coding RNA of Myotis davidii, 1344 nucleotides long. RefSeq lists it as uncharacterized. NCBI's taxonomy places the organism in Eukaryota, Metazoa, Chordata, Mammalia, Chiroptera, Vespertilionidae. The record is from RefSeq and is a predicted model, not a curated record. The transcript is spliced from 4 exons.
UCUGAAGUCUCACCGUGUGUCCCCUACUCUGCUCCCGAUCAGUGAUCCUGACUGAUGUCAUGCUGUUCUGGCUCUAUUUCUUCAUCCCUCUCUCCAUUAAACAUAUCCAGUUCCUUAAUUCCUCAUCAAUCCUAUUUACUUCCUUGUACAUCACAGGUGUUCUGGUGCCACAUUCGACCUUCAACCUGUCUGAACCUGGCAUCUGGCUCCUCCCCAGGAAAUAGCUAAGCAUUGUUCCUUGUUGCCCCUUGGUGAGGAAGGGAGAGGGUCGCUGGAAAAGGUGAUAGAAGACAAAUGGCUCCAGGAGGUGAAGUUAACUCCCAGAAAGAAAGGUCGGGGAGUGGGAAGCAGAGGGAGGAGAUGGAGAUGUGAUGGCUGGAGCUGCAGAAACCACCCGUGACCAGGAGGUAAUCUUGAAGAUGGAAACUAUAAAUUAAGGAGGUUGGCAGCUGGAAGAAUAAGGUGGGGACAUCGAUGAUAUUUUGAUGCUACUAUACCAGCUCUGGACUACCAACUUCCCAACUUUACGUUAUUUGAGAGAAAGUUGGUCAAUAUCCCCCAAGAAUUGUGGUACCUACCACGGAACCCAGUACUUCAGUGUGGUCUAGCCACAGCCCACGGAGGACCAGGGCUGCCUAUGAUCUCCACCUCACUUCCCUGCUUGCAGUCAAAGAUUGGGUGGGUUUUUUUUCAACAGACACAUCAUAGUGUUGGAAAAUAUUCAACCUGUAAUUAAUUAAGGUCCCCAGUUCUUCCAUAUGAACAAACAUUGUCCAGGUAACUCAUCCAUCCUGAACAGCUGGUUUUCUUUUUUUACCCUAAAUUUAGAAUUCUGCAAUUAUCUCUGAUACAUUUCAUUUUAUUGAGUUAGACAAGACACUCCAGAGUGUCUAGACAAUUUUGAAUUUUGUUUUAGUUCUGUAGCUAUAUUUUCCAGCUUUGUGUCAUUGUAGGUUUAGUAAAAAUGCCAUUUAAUUCGUUGCUGCAUUGCCAAAAUGAAGCAAACUUUUCUGACAUUAUUGAAAGUGUAGGCUUGGAUACACAAUGCAGAAUGACUUCUAAAUUAGUUUGAGCAAUUUAUAGACAGCUUUUUGAAAUUCUCUCCAACGCACCUGAAGAAGACAUAAGGCACACAAAGAAGCAAAAGAGGCCUCUUUAAUGUGGGAAGUGAGCAGGGGGAGAAAAAAAACAACACAGAAGAAAAUGGAGGUCCUACCUGCACCUUCCUCCCUAGUCUCCUGUCCCUGGUCCCAGGAUUGGACCCUCUUGUACUCUGAUCCAGAUAUCACCCCUUGGGGCUGGAUGAGGCUGAUGAUAUGUUUGUAACGCCUCCUAGACCAGCGG